This 8148-nucleotide long non-coding RNA is filed under the name Populus trichocarpa (black cottonwood). RNAcentral describes it as "long non-coding RNA (PTRI_LNC000509)". The record is from RNAcentral. Lineage: Eukaryota; Viridiplantae; Streptophyta; Magnoliopsida; Malpighiales; Salicaceae.
AUGAAAGGAGAAUUGGGCGCACCUGUUUCUGGAGAUGACGAAGAAGGUUGCAAUGCCGGUGGCUGUUAUUCUCGCUUGACUGCUUUCCUCUCUCUCCCCGUUGUGUCCACUGUCUUCCUUUUUUUCUUUUUCUUUUUAUUUCCCUGUUCUUGAGAUGAAGAAGCUGAGUCGGUAUGUCUGUUUCUUAAGAUGAAACACAGACAAUUGCAGGGAUCUCUCCUUUCUGUAUCUGUUACUCUCUUAUUCUCUCCUUCUCUGUGUAUGUUAUUUUCGGUUUAUGCUCUGUUUUUCUCUGGUUUUUUUACUCUGUCUUGGCUCCCCCCCUCUUCUCCUCUGAUUUUCGGCCCCUUUUAUAGAGACCCAGCUGCUUGCCUCUAACCAUUCCUGCCUUUACAGGACUGUUAUCUUCCCCGACGAGAUCGUGGGCGAGAGACGUGGUCCACGAUCAGAUUUGUUGCAGAUUAUCAGCUCCCCUGCUGAAUCGGGAGCUCCCCUGUUGAAGCGGGAUGGAGAAGACGCACGGCUGUUAGCAACGGUGCCGUUUCGGCAGCAAAUGGGAAUUUUCAAUUUGACCCCUGCCUCUGGAAAUUUAACAAUUUGAUCCCAACAAUCUUUUAAUUUUACCCUUGGAUUAAUUUCAAUUAAGUCCCUGAAUUUAUUUAAUUAAUUAAAUCAAAGUUUAAUUAAGUCCUCGAACUCAUUAAUUUUUCAAUUAAACUCUUGAUUAAAAUAAUCUAAAUUUUAAUUGAAUCAAUUCUCCAAUUUAGCCAUUAAUUUAAUUAAUUAAACUGGUCAAGAGUUUAAUUAAAUCUUUAAACUUCCAAUCAUGUUGCCCUUAACCCAAAUUUUAAUUCAUUCUUCAAUUGUUUCAUUUUUACUUGUUUUUCAUCAAUUUUUUAGAAAAUAAAAUAAUUAAAAUAAAAAUAUCAAAAAUUAGGUUAUGACAGUUGCCCCCUCUUUAUAAUAUUUACUAUGCAAAGAUAUUAAAAAAUUUCAUUUUCUUUUAGCUUUGUGUAGUAAAUUUAUAAAGGAAAGUAGAUACAAAACGAACUUUUUUUUUUUUUAGUCUUGAAAACUUUGAAAACAGUAGAUUGACACAUGACAUUUACAGAGAGAUGUAGAAAUCAAGAAACAAGUCAUUUGGGAGACGACCCUUUUUUUUAUGAAAUGGAUCAAAUUGUUCUGGGCAACCUGCCCGAUGAUAAAAGAAACGCGAAGAAUUUCACGAGUGGUCUAAUUGUUCCAGGCGACCUGCCCGAUGAUUGAAAAAUACGAGGAUUUUUUUUUUGCUGUUUUUUUUUCUGUGAUGGUAUAUUGUAAUGGGUUACCGGCCCAAAUGGUCACAUUGUAAUGGGUUACCUGCCCAGAUGGUCACAUUGUAAUGGGUUACCGGCCCAGUUGGUCACAUUGUAAUGGGUUACCUGCCCAGUGAAAAAAUACGAGGAUUUUUUUUUUAAGACAUGAUAGGGCUCGAAGGCGCAUUAUUCAAUAGAUGGAAGCUCGAAGGAAAUGAGAGCUCGAAGGAAAUGAGGGCUCGAAGGCGCACUCAAAAGGAGGUAGGAUAGGAAAUGCACUACCUUUGAUGGUCGAGGGCUCGAAGGCGCUCUCGAAAUGGAGAUAAGACGAGGGCUCGAAGGCGCGCUCGAAUGGAGAUAAGACGAGGGCUCGAAUGGAGAUAAGACGAGGGCUCGAAGGCGCGCUCGAAUGUAGAUAAGACGAGGGCUCGAAGGCGCGCUCGAAUGGAGGUAGGAUAGGAAAUGCACUACCUUUGAUGGUCGAGGGCUCGAAGGCGCGCUAAAAAAGGAGAUAAGACGAGGGCUCGAAGGCGCGCUCAAAUGGAGAUAAGACGAGGGCUCGAAGGCGCGCUCGAAUGGAGGUAGGAUAGGAAAUGCACUACCUUUGAUGGUCGAGGGCUCGAAGGCGCGCUCGAAAAGAAACAAGACGAGGGCUCGAAGGCGUGCUCGAAUGGGGAUAAGACGAGGGCUCGAAGGCGCGCUCGAAUGGAGGUAGGAUAGGAAAUGCACUACCUUUGAUGGUCGAGAGUUCGAAGGCGCGCUCGAAAAGAAACAAGACGAGGGCUCGAAGGCACGCUCGAAUGGGGAUAAGACGAGGGCUCGAAGGCGCCCUCGAAUGGAGAAUGAAAGGUGGUGGGAAAAUACAAAUAUUUUUCAGGUGGCCUAAUUCUCAUGGGCGGCCUGCCCAGGUUGAAAAAUUCUCAAAAGUGAAAAUUUUUCAAAAGCAAUUUCAAUGUUCGUCAUUUCAAGUUGGCCUUCCGCUUGAUGGAUUCCGUUAGAAUUUUCUCUAAUAAAAUUUGCAAAACUCAUUGUCCAAUGUCUCAAAGUUUAAAUGAUAUGCAUGCAUCUUUACCUGAUUUGAAAUAUAGGCCCCCCAUUUCUUCUUAGUCUUCUCGUUGCUUAGUUGGUGAGAUCUUGCUAUCUGAUUUGAGUCAUCUUUGUCGUUUGGCUUUCUAGCCCACUCGAGUUAGCUCAUAUAAGACUUUUUUCAGAUUUGUUUGCACAACUCAGCCUUUGUGGUACCCAUCGUGACCCACAUGCUUGCUAAAGAUUUUCGGACUCGUCAAAUAAUUUGAGAGGAUCAUUCAUUACCCCUCGUCUCAUCGCUAAAAACAUUCGGUGUCACUAGCUGAAAGGAUCAAACUGUCUUUUGUAAACCAAAAUGCCAACUUGUCUUGUUGUAAGGGAUGAUAGAUUUUCCUUAAACACAAUGUUACUUGUACUGGUCAUUGCCCCCAAAUAUGCUAUGUCACUGACUUAGAUGAAUAAUGGUUUUAAAAGGCCAUUCUCUCAUUUGGUGAAGGAAUAUGGAUCUAGAAUGAAUCUUGAAAUCUUGAUCUUGCCUUUUGACAACAAAAAUUGUUUUGAUAUGAAUUUAAAACAAUUUGCUUUUGAAAUCUUGCAACUCCUUGGUUAUUAUCUUUCUUGGAAAAGAGAUUAUUUGCUCUUGUGUUUGGCAAUGAGGUCUUCGAUGAAAAUACAUCAUGAGAUGACCUUUUGUUUCAAAGUGAAGGGCUUGAGCAAAAGCUUGAGGUUUUGUACGAGAAAAAACUUGUCUCUUUUUGAACACUCAUUUUUAUUAGCAUGAAUAAUAAUGAGUAGUUUAUACUUGAUGUCAUGAAUCUUAUGAAAAAGUAUUCUUUGCAUUUUGAGAUCAUUGUUUAUUGUUCUAGGUUGCUUGCUUGCUUGAUUAGAAAGGACUUCUACAGGCACGUAACGUAGGCUGUAGUUUUUUGCUAUGAAAGAAAAGGAUUCAUAAGGCUCAAAGAGUGUUUCAGGGUUUCAAAGACUGAAGAUCACGAUCAACAGUUUGACUCUUGACGUCAUUCAUAUUUUCUUUGGCCGCUCUUCUUUGAUUUGCCCUUUUUUUUUUCUUUUUCAUUGCUUUGCUAGAGCAUACUCACUUUAUCUUGGUUAUCACUUUUUCUUGUGAUUUGGGCAUGCCCCCUAGCAUUUGAGUUUCUUGGGCUCUUUUGCCUUUUGGCUUUCUCACGGCUUUAUCAUCUUUCUUGAUCAUUGAAAUUUCACUUGCCCCUUACUUUUUUUCUUGUGAUUUGGGCAUGCUCCCUAGCAUUUGAGUUUCUUAGGCUCUUUUGCCUUUUGGCUUUCUCACGGCUUUAUCAUCUUUCUUGAUCAUUGAAAUUUCACUUGCCCCUAGUGUAGGGUGUGAUCUUAGUCGGGAUUUUUUAUGAAAGAAAAAUUAUUCAGACUCAAAAAGGGAUCGCAAGGGAUGUACUUAUUUCAGAACGUGAAAGGAAUAACAAAGAUGGCCUUUCCUCAUUUCAAGCGCAAGCAGCUAUGAUCAAUAAACUUUGACCUCAUCUAGUGUGAUGGUUUAGUCUUUGCAAAGAUGUAUUUCAUGAGUUAUUCAAACACAUGAUUCAAGAGUCGUGGGGUAAGGGUGUUUAUUCAUUUCUUUUUUCUUUUUCUUUUUAGAGUUUGGUCACCUCUAUGAAGGAGUUGCUUGAUUCACUUGUCAUUCUACAAGUAGAAUGUUAAAAAUAUGGUUUUUGAAUAAACAUCAAGUUAUUUUCGGAAUCAAAAUGCAAGAUCAAAAUUUUUUUAAAACUCUAAUAGGGAAACUGAUUUUUGGUAACAGAGAUGAAUUGCGUCUAUGAGAUCGCACAAGGCUUCAAAGAUAUGUUUGUGAGUCUUUAUAAGAAAACUCUCUCAGAAAAAUGAAUAAUGCUAAUCGUAAACACGAUUGAAUGACAAACUCAUUAUUUUCAUUGAAACUUUGGAAAAUAAGUUCAACAAGAAAGAACUUAUGACAACAUCUUAGGCUAUGAAUACUGGCAUGAUAAAAUAUAAAGGGGCUAAACAUUUAGCAAUCAUUAAUUAGAAUUUAUGGAAUAUUUCAAGGGCAUCUUUCUUGACAAGGGCAUCUUUUCAACAGUCAAUUGAAGUCAUAUGUAGAUCAUUCUUGACCUAAUAUCACCAUAGCUUUAUCUUUAAGAUAGUUGAUUUUUGGGAGUUGGUGUGAAGUAAUUAGCUAUAGGAACGAUAAGUGCCUUGGCAACCACCUUCAGUGUCCUUUCCUUUUUCAUUGAAAUCGUUCUUCUCAAUUGGGUUAGCAAUCUUACCUAACCCAAUGGCUUGUUCAAUCCUCUCAGCUAUAACAACCAGGUCAGUGAAAUGUUGUGCAGAGCUUUUAACCAAGUAUUCAAAGUACGGAGCUUUAAAGGUGUUGGAAAAUAAACUAAUCAUCUCUCUUUCCAACAUAGGAGGGUUAACUUGUGCAGCUACCUCACUCCAUCUUCGGGCGUAUUCCCUUAUGGACUCCUCGUUUUCCUUCUCCAUAGCUUGCAAGCUUAACCGGUCAGGACCCACGUCUAUAUUGAACUUAUAUUGCCUCAUGAAGGCAUCAACUAAAUCCUUCCAUUUUUUUACCUUGGUAUUGUCCAACCGCAUAUACCAAAUGAGGGCAGCGUCACUCAAGCUGUCUUGAAAGAAAUGAAUCAGCAGUUUCUCAUCAUCAACCACCUCAGCCAUUUUGUUGCAGUAUGCUUUGAGAUGAGUUAUAGGGCAUUGAGUUCCCAUAUAUUUGAUAAAUUCUGGCACUCUAAACUUUUUAGGAAUGACAACGUUGGGCACCAAACACAUCUCAGCAGCCUUUAUAGGAUCAUAUAGGUGAAGUCCCUCAAAUGCCCUCAUCCUUUGCUCUAGGGCAACCAAUUUGUCCAGACCAUCUUCUUUUACCAUCUUGCCCUUCUGAGAUUCCUUCUUUAUAGAAUCAAUGGUUAAAGGCGUUCUUGUAGGGUAUGCUGGUUGGAAAUGCAUGGCUUAUUGAAAAUCGGAUGACAAACCGUUUGCCCCCAAAUUCUGUGGAUUGAAGGGAUUUAUGGGCAUAGGUUCAGGCUGAGUUAUAUGUGUUACUUUUCCGGAUUUGUCUCUCAAGGCCUGUUCGAGUAGACUAGUAAGCUUUGCGACUUCUUCUCUAAGAUUGUCCACCUCUUUUUGGUGUUGGGCUUCCAACUAGGCUCUUUCUUCGUUUUCCAUUUUUUUUUUCUCGAACGAGUGUUAUAAAUGGGUUUCAAUGGGGGACCUAUAUUUCACCUGGAGUGCGGUAUUAUGACAGGUCAUAAUUGUAUGUUCCAACAUGCAUGAAGAUGAAUACAACAUAUUGGGUAUGGAUUCGCCUUUUGGGGGGUGACAUAACGAUCGUUAUUCUUUAAAUGUGUGGUCAGAUCCGAAUCCGAUAUUCAUUGCAAUGCCGAGAGGAGAUCUGUUUAGUGUUUUGUCAUCUAAUGUCUUUGGGUAGCGGUAUCUCACUGACAUCCAGUCUAGGGCAGUCUCCUCGGUCAUUUGCAAGGAUUCAGACUCGAAUCCAUACUCAACAGUUGUUAUCUUAGGAAUGUCGGUCAUUAUGUCACCCGAAAGCACGUUUAAGCUUAUCUCAAUGAAUUUACGCAGGGAUUAACCUAAAGAAUAGGUUCUAGUCAUUAAAUGCAUCAGGGUAGUUUUGCUAUCUAGUCUCAACGGUCUUUCGCAUGCUCAGUGAUCGCCCUCGAAAGGUUGAUAUGAGGUUUACAAGCAGCGUGAAGAUAGAGGCCCUGAGUAAUAUCAGUUUGGCAUAUCGACCACUAUCGAGCAAACAAUCAUGUGAGAGUUGGAUAGUUUCGCGAGCCUUACCCAGGCUAAAGUCAUUGGGGUGCCGUUACUCCUCCACUUAUCUUAAAGUUGAUACCACACGUAUUUAAAAAUGAGAUAAGUGAUGCGUGAAGACCUUAGAUCCAUAUCCAAUAUCUAUGCAUGAUAAACAUGAAAAAAAAUGCAUGCUAAAACAAUAAAAAGAGAAAAAAUAAAUAAAUAGAUAAAUAAAACCUGAUAAACUCAACAUAGCCACAACAAGGAGAGAAAAAAAAAUAGUACAACAAAUAUAGUUUAGCAAUAAAAAAGACAAAUAGCAAAGCUUAGUCCUAAGGUCCCCAGUGGAGUCGUCAUUCUGUCGCACCCGACAUCGCGGCGGCCUUAAAAAUUAUUAAAUCUUUGGAAAGAACAAAUUCCUGGCAUCCUGUUCUUUGAUGGUGAAUGGUCUUGUUUAAGGAGUCGUCACCUAGUAUUAUGGUCACUAGAAACCCUAACUGGUCAACAGAGAUUCUAUGGUUCGGGACUGGUUACGUAAAAGGGAAGAUAUUAUCACUCCUUAAAUGUCCUGCCUGAGGCAGGCUGCAUUGCUGAUUUUGUCUUAAAUUGCUAAAAAAAUUUGUUGGUUUAUACUAUGAUUGUUUGUGUGGAAUAUUCCUGACUCUGGCGCCAGUGAAUAUUCAACUAUGGAUAUUUCCAACUCUGGCGUUGGUAAAUAUUACGUAGGUAUCAAAAUAAAUAAAUUUAAACCAUCAUUUUUUUUUAUUCCUGACUCUGGCGUCAGUGAAUAAACAAAUAAAAUCAAUUUACUUUUACACAUACGUAUUAUUUUUAUUUUUAUGUAGCUAAAUAAAAACAAAAUAAAAUAAAAUAAAAUAAAUUUACAUUAGUAUUUUUUAUUCCUGACUCUGGCGUCAGUGAAUAUACCAAAUAAAUUUAUUUUAUUUUAUCUUAUGUUAUUUUGUUUGCACGCACAUUUUUUAUUUUUAUAUAACUAAAUAAAAUACAAUGAAAUAAAUUUGAAUCGGUAUUUUUAUUCUGACUCUGUCGUCAAUGAAUAAAAAAACAAUAAAUUCAUAUUUUUAUUUUUAUUUAUUCCCAAUUUUUAUUAUAUAUUUUUUAUUUUUUAUUUAUAUUUUUAGGUUGGGCCCAGAUCAGCCCACAUGGGCUGGGCUAGACCCAGCCCAGCCCGGUCAGUGGCUCAAGCCAGUGACCGGCUGGGCAGAUGAUUGAUGCACGCGUGAAGCAAUUUCACGCGUGCAUCAACAGUGCGAAGGUAAUUAAAUUACCUUCGCACUAUUCAAAUGCAUUACUGAACACAGAUAAUGAAAGGAGAAUUGGGCGCACCUGUUUCUGGAGAUGACGAAGAAGGUUGCAAUGCCGGUGGCUGUUAUUCUCGCUUGACUGCUUUCCUCUCUCUCCCCGUUGUGUCCACUGUCUUCCUUUUUUUCUUCUUUUUUUGAUUUCCCUGUUCUUGAGAUGAAGAAGCUGAGUCGGUAUGUCUGUUUCUUAAGAUGAAACACAGACAAUUGCAGGGAUCUCUCCUUUCUGUAUCUGUUACUCUCUUAUUCUCUCCUUCUCUGUGUAUGUUAUUUUCGGUUUAUGCUCUGUUUUUCUCUGGUUUUUUUACUCUGUCUUGGCUCCCCCCUCUUCUCCUCUGAUUUUCGGCCCCUUUUAUAGAGACCCAGCUGCUUGCCUCUAACCAUUCCUGCCUUUACAGGACUGUUAUCUUCCCCGACGAGAUCGUGGGCGAGAGACGUGGUCCACGAUCAGAUUUGUUGCAGAUUAUCAGCUCCCCUGCUGAAUCGGGAGCUCCCCUGUUGAAGCGGGAUGGAGAAGACGCACGGCUGUUAGCAACGGUGCCGUUUCGGCAGCAAAUGGGAAUUUUCAAUUUGACCCCUGCCUCUGGAAAUUUAACAAUUUGAUCCCAACAAUCUUUUAAUUUUACCCUUGGAUUAAUUUCAAUUAAGUCCCUGAAUUUAUUUAAUUAAUUAAAUCAAAGUUUAAUUAAGUCCUCGAACUCAUUAAUUUUUCAAUUAAACUCUUG